AUUGAACGCUGGCGGCAGGCCUAACACAUGCAAGUCGAGCGGAUGAAGGGAGCUUGCUCCUGGAUUCAGCGGCGGACGGGUGAGUAAUGCCUAGGAAUCUGCCUGGUAGUGGGGAUAACGUCCGGAAACGGGCGCUAAUACCGCAUACGUCCUGAGGGAGAAAGUGGGGGAUCUUCGGACCUCACGCUAUCAGAUGAGCCUAGGUCGGAUUAGCUAGUUGGUGGGGUAAAGGCCUACCAAGGCGACGAUCCGUAACUGGUCUGAGAGGAUGAUCAGUCACACUGGAACUGAGACACGGUCCAGACUCCUACGGGGGGCAGCAGUGGGGAAUAUUGGACAAUGGGCGAAAGCCUGAUCCAGCCAUGCCGCGUGUGUGAAGAAGGUCUUCGGAUUGUAAAGCACUUUAAGUUGGGAGGAAGGGCAGUAAGUUAAUACCUUGCUGUUUUGACGUUACCAACAGAAUAAGCACCGGCUAACUUCGUG
Molecule: ribosomal RNA, 483 nt
Filed under: uncultured bacterium
Lineage: Bacteria
Description: partial 16S ribosomal RNA
Rfam family: Bacterial small subunit ribosomal RNA
Source: RNAcentral